UACGUAGGGUGCGAGCGUUAAUCGGAAUUACUGGGCGUAAAGCGUGCGCAGGCGGUUUUGUAAGCCAGAUGUGAAAUCCCCGGGCUUAACCUGGGAAUGGCAUUUGGGACUGCAAGGCUUGAGUGCGGCAGAGGAGACUGGAAUUCCCGGUGUAGUGGUGAAAUGCGUAGAUAUCGGGAGGAACACCAGUGGCGAAGGCGGUUAGCUGGCCUGUAACUGACACUGAGGCGCGAAGGCUAGGGGAGCGAACAGG
This 253-nucleotide ribosomal RNA is filed under the name uncultured bacterium. RNAcentral's name for it is "partial 16S ribosomal RNA". It matches the Rfam family "Bacterial small subunit ribosomal RNA", at positions 524 to 776 of the family's 1533-position model. The record is from RNAcentral.